UGAGUACGAGACGCUAAGGCGUUGAAGCAGUCUGUGUCAGACUUCCAAGAAAAGCUCGCAAUGUCAUAAACAAAAAGUGCCUGUACCAUAACCGACACAGGUGGGUAGGUAGAGUAUACUAAGGGGCGCGAGAUAACUCUCUCUAAGGAACUCGGCAAAAUGACUCCGUAACUUCGGGAGAAGGAGUGCCUUAUUUUUAUAAGGUUGCAAUAACAAGAUCCAAGCAACUGUUUACCAAAAACACAGGUCUCCGCUAAGUCGUAAGACGAUGUAUGGGGGCUGACGCCUGCCCAGUGCCAGAAGGUUAAAGAAGUUGGUUAGUUUCGGCGAAGCUGAUGACUGAAGCCCUGGUGAACGGCGGCCGUAACAAUAACGGUCCUAAGGUAGCGAAAUUCCUUGUCGGGUAAGUUCCGACCCGCACGAAAGGCGUAAUGAUUUGGAUACUGUCUCGGAGAGGGGCUCGGUGAAAUAGACUUGUCUGUGAAGAUGCGGACUACCUGCACCUGGACAGAAAGACCCUAUGAAGCUUUACUGUAACUUGAGAUUGAAAUUGGACUUUAUUUGCGCAGUAUAGGUGGGAGACGUUGAGAAUAUUCUUGCGGGAAUAUUGGAGUCAUCAGUGAGAUACCACUCUUGUAAUGUUAGAUUUCUAACUUUGUAUCAUUAUCUGGCCAAAGGACAGUUUCAGGCGGGCAGUUUGACUGGGCGGUCGCCUCCCAAACGGUAACGGAGGCGCACAAAGGUUUCCUCUGAACGUGUAGAAAUCGUAUCUAGAGUGUAAAGGCAUAAAGAAGCUUGACUGUGAGACCUACAAGUCGAGCAGGGACGAAAGUCGGUCUUAGUGAUCUGACGGUGCUGAGUGGAAAGGCCGUCACUCAACGGAUAAAAGUUACUCUAAGGAUAACAGGCUGAUCUCCCCCAAGAGUUCACAUCGACGGGGAGGUUUGGCACCUUGAUGUCGGCUCAUCGCAUCCUGGGGCGGUAGUACGUCCCAAGGGUUGGGCUGUUCGCCCAUGAAAGCGGUACGCGAGCUGGGUUCAGAACGUCGUGAGACAGUUCGGUCCAUAUCCGGUGUAGGCGUUAGAAUAUUGAGAGGAGCCCUCUUUAGUACGAGAGGACCGAGAAGGACAUACCUCUGGUGUACCAGUUAUCGUGCCAACGGUAAACGCUGGGUAGCUAUGUAUGGAGUGGAUAACCGCUGAAAGCAUCUAAGUGGGAAGCCCACCUCAAGAUAAG
Molecule: ribosomal RNA, 1236 nt
Filed under: metagenome
Description: bacterial LSU rRNA
Rfam family: Bacterial large subunit ribosomal RNA
Source: RNAcentral